Mycena latifolia is the source of this 94-nucleotide non-coding RNA. The record is from the annotation of a GenBank genome assembly. NCBI's taxonomy places the organism in Eukaryota, Fungi, Basidiomycota, Agaricomycetes, Agaricales, Mycenaceae.
GGCUCGGUAGCGGAGGGUCCACAUCUGCUUCAAAUUCUGAUUUUGUAGAUUUCACAGAAUACAGAGCAUGCCUGUUCGACUCAGGCCCGAGCCA